This 73-nucleotide transfer RNA is filed under the name Metacarcinus magister (Dungeness crab). Its description in RNAcentral is "tRNA-Val". It matches the Rfam family "tRNA". Rfam says of the family: Transfer RNA (tRNA) molecules are approximately 80 nucleotides in length. Their secondary structure includes four short double-helical elements and three loops (D, anti-codon, and T loops). Further hydrogen bonds mediate the characteristic L-shaped molecular structure. tRNAs have two regions of fundamental functional importance: the anti-codon, which is responsible for specific mRNA codon recognition, and the 3' end, to which the tRNAs corresponding amino acid is attached (by aminoacyl-tRNA synthetases). tRNAs cope with the degeneracy of the genetic code in two manners: having more than one tRNA (with a specific anti-codon) for a particular amino acid; and 'wobble' base-pairing, i.e. permitting non-standard base-pairing at the 3rd anti-codon position. Lineage: Eukaryota; Metazoa; Arthropoda; Malacostraca; Decapoda; Cancridae. The record is from RNAcentral.
CAAAGUAGAGCUAAAAUAGAACAGCAUUUCAUUUACACUGAAGAGAAUUAUCGUGCAAAUCGGUUUACUUUGA